RNAcentral lists this long non-coding RNA (931 nucleotides) under Homo sapiens (human). Its description in RNAcentral is "non-protein coding lnc-TMEM185B-1:3". Lineage: Eukaryota; Metazoa; Chordata; Mammalia; Primates; Hominidae. The record is from RNAcentral.
AGACAACCUCCAGAGCAGGGCAGCAGGCAGCUGCUAGAGAUUUAUUUCUCCACUUAGUCGUCUCCGCUUGCGGCUUCCUCCCAUGAGUGAGGACCAAGAGAAGCCCCCUGUCUCUGAUGAAAGUGGGGGAUGAACACUGAACCAAACCCACACUGCUCAGCACAUUUGAUGCGGCCAGAAACAGACUGCAAAGGCUGAGAAAGCUUUUCAGGGGCCGUCUGGCUGUGUGGGUGCGAAGACCUGGCUGUACUUGGAAUCACCUGGGAAGACUUACAAAAAUGGUUUCCGAGCCUCACCCGCAAGGAUUCUGACUUGGUGAGUCUGAAUCACCAAGAUUCUCGGGGUGAGGCCCCAGAAUCUGCCUGUAUGUAGCCAGCAAUGCUGCAUUUGGACCUGCAUCUGGGGACCUCUGGGCCACCCUGGCCCCCUUAAUUUAUAAAGCAGAACCAGCCCCAGGGUGGAGAAUGAAUGAGGUGCCUGUCACCUGGUUACACAAUUUAAGGUGUCCUUAGUUAUGCCCAGCUGACUCGAGCACAGAUCUUCCUGGGCACUCUCUUCUACACCAGCACAGGGUGGGGCGUGGGAGGGGAGUACGUGCCCAUGCGGGCAUCUACUGAAUGUGCCAGGCCUGUAUCUCUAUUAUCUCACCUCUAUCCUGUGAAGUAGAUAUUAUUAUCCCCAUUGUACAGAUGAGAAAACCUAGACUCAGAGAGGCUGAGCCAUUUGGUCAAGGACACACAGCUGCUGAAAUGACAAGGCCAAGUUUGAACCCAGGUGGUCCCUUCUUUGGCCCAUGCUUAACUACACCAGGGCACCCUCUUGAUAGUGGUCUCCUUGGGGUUCUGUUGCAGCUCAGAGCACAAGCUUCUCCCUGAUCGCUGCCCUAUAGCUUAUUUCCAAUGUUUUUUUUUUUUUUUUUCUGGUUUUUAGU